UUUUUUUCUUACUUCUAGUUCUUAUCUUCCUUCUAAGUUUUAAUUAUUCCUGCUUCUAGUUUGUUUUGCUGCUUCUAGUUCUAAUCUAUAUCGAGCUUUCUUUCGUCUGUUUUUUGUUUUUUUGUUUUUUUGUUUUUUUUGUUUUUUUUUUGGCUAUGCUACCUUGAUCUCAUGUGGGCUAAGGGUUUCCUAAGGCUCCCUACUUGCAUUUUCAAGCAAAAAUUUAUUAUAAUAUCCAUAAGGUUGAUCAGAAAAGCUCAACAUAUUACGUGUCGAUUGUAAUAAUUCAGGACUUCAUCCAAAAUGGCUAGCCAGAAAAUAUUAUUUGGAUUUUUUGAUUCUGUAUAGAUAUUUAAGAUCUACCCAGCGAAUAACUGAUGUGGGACUAAAUACAUGCCCGCAUGGGUACAAACACCACGAUCGGCCGAUGGUAAGCCCCAAUGAAUACGUGUUGCAGUGUCCCCCAGUCCACAUAGGUUAUGGGCUAGGUCCGUUCUAAUACCAUUUGUAACAAUUUAGGAUCUUACCUAAGAUGGCUAACCAAAAGGUAUUAUUUAAGUUCUUUGAUCUUGUAUAGAUAUCCAA
RNAcentral lists this long non-coding RNA (585 nucleotides) under Phoenix dactylifera (date palm). RNAcentral's name for it is "long non-coding RNA (PDAC_LNC017952)". The record is from RNAcentral. Lineage: Eukaryota; Viridiplantae; Streptophyta; Magnoliopsida; Arecales; Arecaceae.